CAAGGCGACGAUCCCUAGCUGGUCUGAGAGGAUGACCAGCCACACUGGAACUGAGACACGGUCCAGACUCCUACGGGAGGCAGCAGUGGGGAAUAUUGCACAAUGGGCGCAAGCCUGAUGCAGCCAUGCCGCGUGUAUGAAGAAGGCCUUCGGGUUGUAAAGUACUUUCAGCGGGGAGGAAGGGAGUAAGGUUAAUAACCUUAUUCAUUGACGUUACCCGCAGAAGAAGCACCGGCUAACUCCGUGCCAGCAGCCGCGGUAAUACGGAGGGUGCAAGCGUUAAUCGGAAUUACUGGGCGUAAAGCGCACGCAGGCGGUCUGUCAAGUCGGAUGUGAAAUCCCCGGGCUCAACCUGGGAACUGCAUUCGAAACUGGCAGGCUUGAGUCUUGUAGAGGGGGGUAGAAUUCCAGGUGUAGCGGUGAAAUGCGUAGAGAUCUGGAGGAAUACCGGUGGCGAAGGCGGCCCCCUGGACAAAGACUGACGCUCAGGUGCGAAAGCGUGGGGAGCAAACAGG
RNAcentral lists this ribosomal RNA (515 nucleotides) under Salmonella enterica. RNAcentral describes it as "bacterial SSU rRNA". It matches the Rfam family "Bacterial small subunit ribosomal RNA", at positions 269 to 776 of the family's 1533-position model. The record is from RNAcentral. Lineage: Bacteria; Pseudomonadati; Pseudomonadota; Gammaproteobacteria; Enterobacterales; Enterobacteriaceae.